GAGGGUAUAGCUCAGUGGUAGAGUGCAUGUUUAGAAUACACAACGUCUUGGGUUCAAUCCCCAGUACCUCCU
Molecule: transfer RNA, 72 nt
Organism: Camelus ferus (Wild Bactrian camel)
Lineage: Eukaryota; Metazoa; Chordata; Mammalia; Artiodactyla; Camelidae
Rfam family: tRNA
About the family: Transfer RNA (tRNA) molecules are approximately 80 nucleotides in length. Their secondary structure includes four short double-helical elements and three loops (D, anti-codon, and T loops).
Source: Rfam